UGCCAGCCGCCGCGGUAAUACGGAGGGAGCUAGCGUUUUUCGGAAUUACUGGGCGUAAAGAGCACGUAGGCGGUUGAUUAAGUUGAGAGUGAAAUCCCAGGGCUUAACCCUGGAACUGCUCUCAAAACUAGUCAACUAGAGUAUGAUAGGGGACAGUGGAAUUCCUAGUGUAGAGGUGAAAUUCUUAGAUAUUAGGAGGAACACCGGUGGCGAAGGCGACUGUCUGGAUCAUUACUGACGCUGAGGUGCGAAAGCGUGGGGAGCAAACAGGAUUAGAUA
This 279-nucleotide ribosomal RNA is filed under the name uncultured bacterium. RNAcentral describes it as "partial 16S ribosomal RNA". It matches the Rfam family "Bacterial small subunit ribosomal RNA", at positions 506 to 784 of the family's 1533-position model. The record is from RNAcentral.